Molecule: ribosomal RNA, 523 nt
Filed under: uncultured bacterium
Lineage: Bacteria
Description: bacterial SSU rRNA
Rfam family: Bacterial small subunit ribosomal RNA
Source: RNAcentral
CCAGAGAACUUUCCAGAGAUGGAUUGGUGCCUUCGGGAACUCUGAGACAGGUGCUGCAUGGCUGUCGUCAGCUCGUGUUGUGAAAUGUUGGGUUAAGUCCCGCAACGAGCGCAACCCUUUAUCCUUUGUUGCCAGCGGUUAGGCCGGGAAACUCAAAGGAGACUGCCAGUGAUAAACUGGAGGAAGGUGGGGAUGACGUCAAGUCAUCAUGGCCCUUACGAGUAGGGCUACACACGUGCUACAAUGGCGCAUACAAAGAGAAGCGACCUCGCGAGAGCAAGCGGACCUCAUAAAGUGCGUCGUAGUCCGGAUUGGAGUCUGCAACUCGACUCCAUGAAGUCGGAAUCGCUAGUAAUCGUAGAUCAGAAUGCUACGGUGAAUACGUUCCCGGGCCUUGUACACACCGCCCGUCACACCAUGGGAGUGGGUUGCAAAAGAAGUAGGUAGCUUAACCUUCGGGAGGGCGCUUACCACUUUGUGAUUCAUGACUGGGGUGAAGUCGUAACAAGGUAGGCGUAGUGCU